RNAcentral lists this ribosomal RNA (312 nucleotides) under Triticum aestivum (bread wheat). Its description in RNAcentral is "partial small subunit ribosomal RNA". The record is from RNAcentral. Lineage: Eukaryota; Viridiplantae; Streptophyta; Magnoliopsida; Poales; Poaceae.
AUGUCACCCAAAUCACAGAUUCGGCCAAACGCCCAAAAGAAACGCUCACACGCACCGACGCACAUGAACACAUCCGAUCUACAAGGGAGCGGCCGUAACGAUCGGCCUUGUUUCCAUGCAUCCGAUCUCGGAAAACUUUGGCAGAUCAACGCGCCGUACCGGCUAGUAUCAUCUUAUUCUAUUACGAGGCAGGAAUCGAAGCUGGCCUGCCAUCCACUGCGGAUCUCGCAAUUUCAUAUUCCCCGGUACUCGCGCGCCGCUGACUUCCUCCGCACCCCGAUCGAUGAAGACGGAAGCGUCGGCGCCCACUAG